UCGAGAAUUUUUCUCAAUGGGCGAAAGCCUGAAGGAGCGACGCCGCGUGGGGGAUGAAUGGCUUCGGCCCGUAAACCCCUGUCAUUUGCGAACAAAUUGAUUCACUUAACACGUGUAUCAUUGAUUGUAGCAGAAGAGGAAGGGACGGCUAACUCUGUGCCAGCAGCCGCGGUAAUACAGAGGUCCCAAGCGUUGUUCGGAUUCACUGGGCGUAAAGGGUGCGUAGGCGGUUAGGUAAGUCUGUUGUGAAAUCUCCGAGCUUAACUCGGAAACUGCAGUGGAUACUAUCUAACUCGAGGAAUGGAGGGGAGACUGGAAUACUUGGUGUAGCAGUGAAAUGCGUAGAUAUCAAGUGGAACACCAGUGGCGAAGGCGAGUCUCUGGACAUUUCCUGACGCUGAGGCACGAAAGCCAGGGGAGCAAACGGGAUUAGAUACCCCCGUAGUCC
RNAcentral lists this ribosomal RNA (448 nucleotides) under uncultured bacterium. RNAcentral's name for it is "bacterial SSU rRNA". It matches the Rfam family "Bacterial small subunit ribosomal RNA", at positions 355 to 796 of the family's 1533-position model. The record is from RNAcentral.